CCCACAAACCACCGAAAUUCCGGUUGUUACUCCCCACAAAAAACCGACCCGAGUCCGGUUAUUCACCUGGAAACCCGAAAACCGGUUUCAUUUCCUUGUGUUCUGACUUCCACUUGCCCCAAAAGCUUUAUUUUGAACGAGGGCUCCAAAAUUUUCUUGCCAACAGUCAAUUACUUUCCCAGGAAAAUCGCAGAGAAAAUAGAGUCAAUUUUUCUAAAAGAUUUGAAAGGAAAAUGUUAGGUUCAAACUCUCCAGGCCGACGAACUCUCUGCAAGACUCAUUCGACAUCAACCAGACCUAUCUGCAGCGCAAGCUCAUCCUUCAGAACCACGAGCCUCGCAAGCUCAUGGAUUGAGCAAAGAUAGCUACACCAAGCUGGAAAUCGAAGGUUCUUUGUAUUUACAUCGAGUUCUGCACCAUAUAAUUGUCAAGGGUUAUGACAACAACAGACCAUGUUUAUGAGGUAGGUGUUUCAUUUAAAACAACGCAUCUUUCUAUUGAUAGCAACUUUUUAAAAUCUUCUUUUGAUGAAAGUUGGGGUAUUCUAUAUGUUCCUUUUAUGUAUGUCCUAAUUGCAGGUUCAUUUGAAUGAUAUAUAGGUUAGUAGUAAUGACAUUGCCUUUAAUAUUGUGGAUGAAAAUGAAUUCAAUAAGAAUGUAUUAAAGGUUGAAAUUCUCAUGCUUCUUGUGUUUAUUUUUUAAUUUUCAUUAUUAUUUUCUUUUUUUGGUAAAACCUUGUGUUUAUUUUGUUAAUAAUUGUUAUUUGCUCAGAUAUUUUAGAUGCCAACUGCUUGUGUUUCAAUGUAAGAGAUUUUCAUUGGAACAUCCCUUUACCGCAAUAGUAAAGUUAGUUGCUUACGAUAUGGUAAAGUUAGUUGCUUACGAUAUGGUUUUAAUAGAAUAUGUAUGAUAAAGUUUGAGAUAUUUAAGGCUUCGGAGGUCAACAUACAAUCAAAUCUGCCAAAGUUAAGGUAUCUAAAUAUAUGGUUAGGUGAUUACAGACUACAAAUCUAUCAAAAUAUAUUGACUAAUUUGGCUUUGAUAUGAUUGUUGUUUGCAAACAAUAUAAUCUCUAAGCUAUUUUGCAUCCACUGAUUUGACUGAGUUUUGUGAUGUUAUGUUUUUUUUUUUUUUUUUUUUUUUUUUUUUUUUUUUUUUUUUUUUUGGUUGUGUUCUUGUUUAUUUACUUCUUUUUUUGUUUGCUAAGUUCGUUGGGUUGUUUACUGUAUUGAAAAAAAAUUAGGUGAGCAAUCCAUGUAGGUGAGCAAAUUAAAAUAUUUUUAUGCAUAUUAUAUUGUGAAAAAAAUGUAUAUUUGUGAUAUCUAGGUGAGCAAUCCAUGUAGCAAGGUAUUUAACUGAAGGUAUACGAUAAAUCAUCCCAGUCAUUAAUUUUUAUUCAUCCAACCGUAAUAGAACCUUAGUCUCAUAUUCUAACCCUAAUAGGAUUCUAAUCGAUUUCUAAUUUUUGUACUCUGCCUUCAUAUAUAUAUAUAUAUAUAUAUAUUUAUAUCGUGACAAAAAGCAUCAAUUAUAUAACAUAACAUCAAUGUUUAUGCAAUGAAAAACGAACGCUCUUUGACCUACCCGAAUUGGGCAUGUAUUCAUGGAGAUGUCUUUGUUUUACAAAGAAAACCGCAUAGAGCAAAGCAAGCACCAACCUCCAUGGCUAUUGGUGGGUCCUUAUCAGAAAAACCUUAGAUUAUACAAUAUCAUGAAUGAUGAAAUCUGCAAAUUUGAGUUACAAAUUCCGGAUCAGUAUGAAAUUUCUCGUUUUGAUUCUUGUCACGGUUGGUUGUUUGUUUGGAAGACCAAAAAUUCUAAGAUAAUGGUUUUGAACCCACUUUCCGGAAAGUUCUUUGAUCUUCCACCAUUCGAUAGAGGUAAAAUUGAUAUAAAAAACCAUGGCAUAUUAAUGGCUGGAUUGUCAAGAGACCCAUCUUUUGGAUCUUUUGAGGCUUUUGUGAGUUGUCAAUAUUAUUGUGCCUAUAUAAAUUUUGGUGAUGAAUAUUGGACAUGCUCGAUGCCAAAUAGCAUUCGUCGCAUUAUUAAUGUAGAAUUUUUCCAAGGUGGUUGAUUGCUGGGUAUCACCUUCUACUGUACAAUUGUGUCUAUAGAUAUAAUUAGGGAUGAUAAUGAUGAUAGUGAUUCUUCUAAGGAGCAAUCUUCUAGGUACUUCAAGAUGAGCGAGAUUGCACCAGCUUUUGAGGAUUCAUCGUGUUAUCACAAAGGAUGUUUAGUGAAAGCCAUAAAUGGGGAUCUUCUUUUGGUGUAUAGAUAUUGUUAUAUGAACGAUUUGAGUUUGAAUACAUGCAAAAUAUACAAAUUGAUA
Long non-coding RNA from Ziziphus jujuba (common jujube), 2328 nucleotides. RefSeq lists it as uncharacterized. The record is from RefSeq and is a predicted model, not a curated record. Lineage: Eukaryota; Viridiplantae; Streptophyta; Magnoliopsida; Rosales; Rhamnaceae. The transcript is spliced from 2 exons.